GGCGAACGCUGGCGGCAUGCUUAACACAUGCAAGUCUCACGGGCAGCAACGUCAGUGGCGGACGGGUGAGUAACGCGUAGGUAUCUAUCUCUGGGUGGGGGAUAACUAUGGGAAACUACAGCUAAUACCGCAUGAUGACUGAGGUCCAAAGGCGCAAGUCACCUGGAGAGGAGCCUGCGUACGAUUAGCUUGUGGUGGGGUAAAGCCUACCAAGGCGACGAUCGUUAGCUGGUCUGAGAGGAUGAUCAGCCACAUUGGGACUGAGACACGGGCCCAAGCUCCUACGGGAGGCAGCAGUGGGGAAUAUUGGACAAUGGGCGAAAGCCUGAUCCAGCAAUGCCGCGUGUGUGAAGAAGGUCUUCGGGAUUGUAAAGUACUUUC
This 381-nucleotide ribosomal RNA is filed under the name uncultured bacterium. Its description in RNAcentral is "bacterial SSU rRNA". It matches the Rfam family "Bacterial small subunit ribosomal RNA", at positions 28 to 437 of the family's 1533-position model. The record is from RNAcentral.